GAUGAAGAACGUAGCGAAAUGCGAUAAGUAAUGUGAAUUGCAGAAUUCAGUGAAUCAUCGAAUCUUUGAACGCACAUUGCGCCCCUUGGUAUUCCGAGGGGCAUGUCUGUUCGAGCGUCAUUAUAACCCUCAAGCUCAGCUUGGUGUUGGGGCCUGCUGCACUGGCAGCCCUUAAAAUCAGUGGCGGCGCCAUCUGGCUCUAAGCGUAGUAAUUCUUCUCGCUAUGGAGUCCUGGUGGAUGCUUGCCAUCAACCCCCAAUUUUUCUAUGGUUGACCUCGGAUCAGGUAGGGAUACCCGCUGAACUUAAGCAUAUCAAUAAGCGGAGGA
Molecule: unclassified non-coding RNA, 328 nt
Filed under: soil metagenome
Description: partial contains 5.8S ribosomal RNA, internal transcribed spacer 2, and large subunit ribosomal RNA
Rfam family: 5.8S ribosomal RNA (bases 1-120)
Source: RNAcentral